RNAcentral lists this ribosomal RNA (497 nucleotides) under uncultured bacterium. RNAcentral's name for it is "partial 16S ribosomal RNA". It matches the Rfam family "Bacterial small subunit ribosomal RNA", at positions 28 to 507 of the family's 1533-position model. The record is from RNAcentral.
GACGAACGCUGGCGGCGUGCCUAAUACAUGCAAGUAGAGCGCAGAGGGUAGGUACUUGUACGCACCGGCUGAGCAGCUGACGGGUGAGUAACGCGUGGGGAAUCUGCCUAUGAGCGGGGGACAGCAUGUGGACACGAAUGCUCAUACCGCAUAACAACAUUAUACACAAUAUUGCAGGUUGAAAGAUGCAAUUGCAUAAUUCAAAGACUAUCCCGCGUUGUAUUAGUUAGUUAGUGAGGUAAAGGCUCACCAAGGCGAUGAUACAUAGCCGACCUGAGAGGGUGAUCGGCCACAUUGGGACUGAGACACGGCCCAAACUCCUACGGGAGGCAGCAGUAGGGAAUCUUCGGCAAUGGACGAAAGUCUGACCGAGCAACGCCGCGUGAGUGAAGAAGGUUUUCGGAUCGUAAAACUCUGUUGGUAGAGAAGAACGUUGGUGAGAGUGGAAAGCUCAUCAAGUGACGGUAACUAACCAGAAAGGGACGGCUAACUACGUG